This 799-nucleotide ribosomal RNA is filed under the name uncultured bacterium. Its description in RNAcentral is "bacterial SSU rRNA". It matches the Rfam family "Bacterial small subunit ribosomal RNA", at positions 9 to 776 of the family's 1533-position model. The record is from RNAcentral.
GAGUUUGAUCAUGGCUCAGGAUGAACGCUGGCGGCGUGCCUAAUACAUGCAAGUCGAACGAAACUUCUUUAUCACCGAGUGCUUGCACUCACCGAUAAAGAGUUGAGUGGCGAACGGGUGAGUAACACGUGGGCAACCUGCCCAAAAGAGGGGGAUAACACUUGGAAACAGGUGCUAAUACCGCAUAACCAUAGUUACCGCAUGGUAACUAUGUAAAAGGUGGCUAUGCUACCGCUUUUGGAUGGGCCCGCGGCGCAUUAGCUAGUUGGUGGGGUAAAGGCUUACCAAGGCAAUGAUGCGUAGCCGAACUGAGAGGUUGAUCGGCCACAUUGGGACUGAGACACGGCCCAAACUCCUACGGGAGGCAGCAGUAGGGAAUCUUCCACAAUGGGCGAAAGCCUGAUGGAGCAACGCCGCGUGGGUGAAGAAGGUCUUCGGAUCGUAAAACCCUGUUGUUAGAGAAGAAAGUGCGUGAGAGUAACUGUUCACGUUUCGACGGUAUCUAACCAGAAAGCCACGGCUAACUACGUGCCAGCAGCCGCGGUAAUACGUAGGUGGCAAGCGUUAUCCGGAUUUAUUGGGCGUAAAGGGAACGCAGGCGGUCUUUUAAGUCUGAUGUGAAAGCCUUCGGCUUAACCGGAGUAGUGCAUUGGAAACUGGGAGACUUGAGUGCAGAAGAGGAGAGUGGAACUCCAUGUGUAGCGGUGAAAUGCGUAGAUAUAUGGAAGAACACCAGUGGCGAAAGCGGCUCUCUGGUCUGUAACUGACGCUGAGGUUCGAAAGCGUGGGGACAAACAGG